CCUACGGGGGGCAGCAGUCGAGAAUCUUCGGCAAUGGACGAAAGUCUGACCGAGCGACGCCGCGUGCGGGAUGAAGGCCCUCGGGUUGUAAACCGCUGUCGUAGGGGAUCAAAUGUAUGAGGGUUCUCCCUCAUAUUCGAGAGAUCCUAGGAGGAAGGAGAGGCUAAGCUCGUGCCAGCAGCCGCGGUAAGACGAGCUCUCCAAACGUUAUUCGGUAUUACUGGGCUUAAAGAGUUCGUAGGCGGUCUUGUAGGUGAGGUGUGAAAGCCCUCGGC
RNAcentral lists this ribosomal RNA (275 nucleotides) under uncultured bacterium. RNAcentral's name for it is "partial 16S ribosomal RNA". It matches the Rfam family "Bacterial small subunit ribosomal RNA", at positions 338 to 608 of the family's 1533-position model. The record is from RNAcentral.